Molecule: transfer RNA, 69 nt
Filed under: Fukomys damarensis (Damara mole-rat)
Lineage: Eukaryota; Metazoa; Chordata; Mammalia; Rodentia; Bathyergidae
Rfam family: tRNA
About the family: Transfer RNA (tRNA) molecules are approximately 80 nucleotides in length. Their secondary structure includes four short double-helical elements and three loops (D, anti-codon, and T loops).
Source: Rfam by way of RNAcentral
GUUGUAGCUUAGUGGUAGAGCACUUGCCUAAUAUGUACAAGGCUCUGGGUUCCAUCCCCAGCACAAACA